Non-coding RNA from Trichonephila clavata, 69 nucleotides. The record is from the annotation of a GenBank genome assembly. NCBI's taxonomy places the organism in Eukaryota, Metazoa, Arthropoda, Arachnida, Araneae, Nephilidae.
UCGUUGUGCGAUGGACAGCGCGUUGGACUUCUAAUCCAAGGAUCGUGGUUUCGAAUCCCACCUGAGAAG